Non-coding RNA from Otolemur garnettii (small-eared galago), 65 nucleotides. Lineage: Eukaryota; Metazoa; Chordata; Mammalia; Primates; Galagidae. The record is from Rfam.
UGUGUAUCCUAUAGGAACAUCUUCCAAGUGCCUUUCUGCAGUUUUUCAGGAGCGCAAGAUAGAUU